Molecule: small nuclear RNA, 161 nt
Filed under: Hyaloperonospora arabidopsidis Emoy2
Lineage: Eukaryota; Oomycota; Peronosporomycetes; Peronosporales; Peronosporaceae
Description: U12 minor spliceosomal RNA
Rfam family: U12 minor spliceosomal RNA
About the family: Although the U12 sequence is very divergent from that of U2, the two are functionally analogous.
Source: Rfam by way of RNAcentral
AUGGCUUAAACUCAAUGAGUAAGGAAACUAAUGUCUUACCUGACAAGUAAGACUACCCAAUGGGUUAAGUGACCCAUUGGUUCUAAUUUGUGACGGAUAUGGAACGGCCGUUGGUUUAGGAACCACUACUUUCGGGUGACUAAUAAGGGGCCGGUCCCCGC